RNAcentral lists this ribosomal RNA (468 nucleotides) under uncultured bacterium. RNAcentral describes it as "partial 16S ribosomal RNA". It matches the Rfam family "Bacterial small subunit ribosomal RNA", at positions 28 to 507 of the family's 1533-position model. The record is from RNAcentral.
GACGAACGCUGGCGGCGUGCUUAACACAGGCAAGUCGAACGGAAAGGCCCUGCGUUGGUGGGGUGCUCGAGUGGCGAAAGGGUGAGUAACACGUGAGUAACCUGCCCUUGACUUUGGGAUAACUUCAGGAAACUGGGGCUAAUACCGGAAAGGAGCUCCUGCUGCAUGGUGGGGGUUGGAAAGUUUCGGCGGUUGGGGAUGGACUCGCGGCUUAUCAGCUUGUUGGUGGGGUAGUGGCUUACCAAGGCUUUGACGGGUAGCCGGCCUGAGAGGGUGACCGGCCACAUUGGGCCUGGGAUACGGCCCAGACUCCUACGGGAGGCAGCAGUGGGGAAUAUUGCACAAUGGGCGGAAGCCUGAUGCAGCAACGCCGCGUGCGGGAUGACGGCCUUCGGGUUGUAACCCGCUUUCGCCUGUGACGAAGCGUGAGUGACGGUAAUGGGUAAAGAAGCACCGGCUAACUACGUG